GGGCCCGCACAAGCGGUGGAGCAUGUGGUUUAAUUCGAUGCAACGCGAAGAACCUUACCUACUCUUGACAUCCAGAGAAUUCGCUAGAGAUAGCUUAGUGCCUUCGGGAACUCUGAGACAGGUGCUGCAUGGCUGUCGUCAGCUCGUGUUGUGAAAUGUUGGUUAAGUCCCGCAACGAGCGCAACCCCUAUCCUUACUUGCCAGCGGGUCAUGCCGGGAACUUUAGGGAGACUGCCGGUGAUAAACCGGAGGAAGGUGGGGACGACGUCAAGUCAUCAUGGCCCUUACGAGUAGGGCUACACACGUGCUACAAUGGUCAGUACAGAGGGUUGCGAAGCCGCGAGGUGGAG
This 350-nucleotide ribosomal RNA is filed under the name uncultured bacterium. Its description in RNAcentral is "bacterial SSU rRNA". It matches the Rfam family "Bacterial small subunit ribosomal RNA", at positions 917 to 1267 of the family's 1533-position model. The record is from RNAcentral.